Molecule: ribosomal RNA, 119 nt
Filed under: Periophthalmus magnuspinnatus
Lineage: Eukaryota; Metazoa; Chordata; Actinopteri; Gobiiformes; Gobiidae
Source: RNAcentral
ACGCAUGGCCACACCAGCUUUUCAAGGCCUGAUCUUGUUAGAUCUCACAAGCUAAUCAAGGCCGGGCCUGGUUACUACUUGGAUAGGAGCCUGUCGGGAAUAUCAGGUGGCACAGCGGG